GCGCUAGUGGUUUAGUGGCAGAAUACGAGCUUCCCAAGCUUGUGACCCGGGUCCGAUUCCCGGCUGGCGCA
This 71-nucleotide transfer RNA is filed under the name Nanobdellota archaeon. RNAcentral describes it as "tRNA-Gly". It matches the Rfam family "tRNA". From Rfam's summary of the family: Transfer RNA (tRNA) molecules are approximately 80 nucleotides in length. Their secondary structure includes four short double-helical elements and three loops (D, anti-codon, and T loops). Lineage: Archaea; Nanobdellati; Nanobdellota. The record is from RNAcentral.